AGAGUUUGAUCAUGGCUCAGGAUGAACGCUGGCGGCGUGCCUAACACAUGCAAGUCGAACGGACUUACAUUGAAGCCUAGCGAUAUGUAAGUUAGUGGCGGACGGGUGAGUAACGCGUGGGUAACCUGCCUUGUACUGGGGGACAACAGUUGGAAACGACUGCUAAUACCGCAUAAGCGCACAGCUUCGCAUGAAGCAGUGUGAAAAACUCCGGUGGUACAAGAUGGACCCGCGUCUGAUUAGCUGGUUGGUGAGGUAACGGCCCACCAAGGCGACGAUCUGUAGCCGGCCUGAGAGGGUGAACGGCCACAUUGGGACUGAGACACGGCCCAAACUCCUACGGGAGGCAGCAGUGGGGAAUAUUGCACAAUGGGGGAAACCCUGAUGCAGCAACGCCGCGUGAGUGAAGAAGUAUUUCGGUAUGUAAAGCUCUAUCAGCAGGAAAGAAAAUGACGGUACCUGACUAAGAAGCCACGGCUAACUACGUGCCAGCAGCCGCGGUAAAACGUAGGUCACAAGCGUUGUCCGGAAUUACUGGGUGUAAAGGGAGCGCAGGCGGGAAGACAAGUUGGAAGUGAAAUCCAUGGGCUUAACCCAUGAACUGCUUUCAAAACUGUUUUUCUUGAGUAGUGCAGAGGUAGGCGGAAUUCCCGGUGUAGCGGUGGAAUGCGUAGAUAUCGGGAGGAACACCAGUGGCGAAGGCGGCCUACUGGGCACCAACUGACGCUGAGGCUCGAAAGUGUGGGUAGCAAACAGGAUUAGAUACCCUGGUAGUCCACACCGUAAACGAUGAUUACUAGGUGUUGGAGGAUUGACCCCUUCAGUGCCGCAGUUAACACAAUAAGUAAUCCACCUGGGGAGUACGACCGCAAGGUUGAAACUCAAAGGAAUUGACGGGGGCCCGCACAAGCAGUGGAGUAUGUGGUUUAAUUCGACGCAACGCGAAGAACCUUACCAAGUCUUGACAUCCUGUGACAGACGUAGAAAUACGUUCUUCCUUCGGGACACAGAGACAGGUGGUGCAUGGUUGUCGUCAGCUCGUGUCGUGAGAUGUUGGGUUAAGUCCCGCAACGAGCGCAACCCUUAUGGUCAGUUACUACGCAAGAGGACUCUGGCCAGACUGCCGUUGACAAAACGGAGGAAGGUGGGGAUGACGUCAAAUCAUCAUGCCCUUUAUGACUUGGGCUACACACGUACUACAAUGGCGUUAAACAAAGAGAAGCAAGACCGCGAGGUGGAGCAAAACUCAGAAACAACGUCCCAGUUCGGACUGCAGGCUGCAACUCGCCUGCACGAAGUCGGAAUUGCUAGUAAUCGUGGAUCAGCAUGCCACGGUGAAUACGUUCCCGGGCCUUGUACACACCGCCCGUCACACCAUGAGAGCCGGGGGGACCCGAAGUCGGUAGUCUAACCGCAAGGAGGACGCCGCCGAAGGUAAAACUGGUGAUUGGGGUGAAGUCGUAACAAGGU
RNAcentral lists this ribosomal RNA (1470 nucleotides) under metagenome. RNAcentral's name for it is "bacterial SSU rRNA". It matches the Rfam family "Bacterial small subunit ribosomal RNA". The record is from RNAcentral.